GAUCCAGCUGAAACCUAGACUUUCUGCUUACCUGGUCUAACUGUUUUCUUUUUUCCUGUAAUUUCUGAUUCCCAGGCUAAUUGUGAUAAUGAUGAUGAUGACGUGUAUUCCUUCUGCUGAGAAAAGUUUGGUUGAUAAGGCAUUUCUCAUCCCAGCCUGUAAAGAAUCUGUGAAGCAGGGCCAUUGGACAUCUUAACAAGUGCCAUGGAGGCCCAUCACAUCCUCUGCGGUGUCUGAAGUUUGCAGACUUGUUCCCUCCGCAGCAAACAGGCAGAAAUCAAGCACCACAAAUGUCGGGGGAAGCAGAAGUCUUUUCCAGUGACACUGAAGGGUCUCUGACAUGCAGUAAAGUACUGCUGCGGAAAGCCAAAAGGAGAGCCAGAGAUCCUGAGAGAAGUGCCUUUGGUUUGGGUUAAGUUCUCAGUGC
Molecule: long non-coding RNA, 427 nt
Filed under: Parus major (Great Tit)
Lineage: Eukaryota; Metazoa; Chordata; Aves; Passeriformes; Paridae
Description: lncRNA (ENSPMJG00000007092.1)
Source: RNAcentral